RNAcentral lists this non-coding RNA (951 nucleotides) under Triplophysa labiata. RNAcentral's name for it is "12S ribosomal RNA". It matches the Rfam family "Bacterial small subunit ribosomal RNA". RNAcentral also lists the same sequence under 1 other name. The record is from RNAcentral. Lineage: Eukaryota; Metazoa; Chordata; Actinopteri; Cypriniformes; Nemacheilidae.
CAAAGGCUUGGUCCUGACUUUACUAUCAGCUCUAACACAACUUACACAUGCAAGUAUCCGCGCCCCUGUGAGGAUGCCCUUAAUCCCCCGCCCGGGGACGAGGAGCAGGUAUCAGGCACUAAUAAUUUAGCCCAAGACACCUUGCCAAGCCACACCCCCAAGGGAAUUCAGCAGUGAUAAAUAUUAAGCCAUAAGUGAAAACUUGACUUAGUUAGCGUUAAGAGGGCCGGUAAAACUCGUGCCAGCCACCGCGGUUAUACGAGAGGCCCUAGUUGAUAGGCACGGCGUAAAGGGUGGUUAAGGAAGGCAAAGAUAAAGCCAAAGGGCCUCCCGGCCGUCAUACGCUCCCGAGUGUCCGAAGCCCACAAACGAAAGUAGCUUUAGCCCCGCCCACCUGACUCCACGAAAACUGAGAAACAAACUGGGAUUAGAUACCCCACUAUGCUCAGCCGUAAACCUAGACGCUCUUUCACUAUAAGCGUCCGCCCGGGUACUACGAGCGUUAGCUUGAAACCCAAAGGACUUGGCGGUGCCUCAGACCCCCCUAGAGGAGCCUGUCCUAGAACCGAUAAUCCCCGUUAAACCUCACCACUUCUAGCCAUUCCCGCCUAUAUACCGCCGUCGUCAGCUUACCCUGUGAAGGACUAACAGUAAGCUAAAUGAAUACAAUUCAAAACGUCAGGUCGAGGUGUAGCGCACGAAGUGGGAAGAGAUGGGCUACAUUUUCUGAAACAGAAUAUUACGAACAGUACCCUGAAAAAUAACUCGAAGGAGGAUUUAGUAGUAAAAAGGAAAAAGAGUGUCCUUUUGAACCCGGCUCUGAGGCGCGUACACACCGCCCGUCACUCUCCCCUGUCACACAGCAGCAAACGUUUUUAACACCAAAGCACCGACAAGGGGAGGCAAGUCGUAACAUGGUAAGUGUACCGGAAGGUGCACUUGGAUCAAACC